Molecule: ribosomal RNA, 121 nt
Filed under: Butis sp. CBM DNA No. 2009-111
Lineage: Eukaryota; Metazoa; Chordata; Actinopteri; Gobiiformes; Eleotridae
Description: partial 16S rRNA
Source: RNAcentral
AACCCCAACAGCUAGUCCAACCCUCAAUAAACAACAACCGAUAUCCAUAACCCCUAACACCCCUAAAACAUAAAACAAACCAUUUUUCCCCUUAAGUACGGGAGACGGAAAAAGACUAAAG